This is a long non-coding RNA of Monomorium pharaonis (pharaoh ant), 4959 nucleotides long. RefSeq lists it as uncharacterized. The record is from RefSeq and is a predicted model, not a curated record. The transcript is spliced from 2 exons. Lineage: Eukaryota; Metazoa; Arthropoda; Insecta; Hymenoptera; Formicidae.
UGAGACGGUCUGCGAUACUCGAGGUUACAAACUUAAGGUAUUUGGGAUAACAUUAAGAGAAACGUUUCUUGGAACGUAAUCUAUAAUUUCCUGUUUCGACAUCACGUAAUAUUUAUGUAAAAAAUAAAUGUGGUAAUAAAUAUUUAUAAAUAUAUAUUAUAAAUGCUGUGUAUUAUCCGAAUCACAGUCACUAUUAUACAUGUAUAAUUUAACUUAAAGUGUUAUUCAUAUUUUUCUGACAUAAAUACACUCUUAUUAAAAAUUCAUGUAACAAAUAUAUUUUUUAGUUUUUUUUCUACUUUAUAGAUUAUAAGAAUACUCGAACUAACGCUAUUUUAUUUUAAUAUAAAAAGAAAAGCAAGUACCAUAAAAUUUUGAGCAAUGUUAAUUUGUGAAAUCCCCCGAAGUUCUUGCACCCUUUCAUUUCCUUCCGAUUUGCUGAAUUUGUAUUGUCGAAAAGAGCCUGGACCAAUACAAAAUCGUUAUGUAAAUGUGAAUUCAGACCCCGAUACAGACUCUCGUGAAUAUGUAAUCAAAAUAUUAUUACUUCCAUUUCAAACCCUUUCGAAACUCGAUAAUGGACGAUCCUCUCCCUCCUACCCCUCCACCCUCUUUCCCCACUCAAUUGACUUGUCUGUCAAUAAAUAACCGCGGCUAGCGCGGUAAUCACUAUCUUUGUGGACGUAAUGACAGGAUUAAAACAAUGUUCUCUCAUCACCGCGUUUAAUUAUUAGUAGUGUAUCGAGAGACAGAGGGAGGAAAAAGGUAAAGGGGGAGGGGAAAAAUACGAUACCCAAGCCAGAGCUAGGCGUUUUAUUGACCGGUCAAACAUUCAUCGGAUUUCAUAUUUACACGCGCGUUCGCGAAUGAUGCGCGCGCGUGCUACGUAAAUGACCGCGAUUUAAGAGCGUUCGCAAUCGUGUAAUUAAAUUGGAUAUGUACCGGAUUCGGAUGUACGAGCACGCAGAGGCGCGCGGUGUGCCGGCCGGUAACAUGUAAAUUCGAUAAAUAUCGGAAAUUCGUGUACAAAUGGUCGGUACGUUCGUUUGACGAGGGCAACAAUUUUGCAACGGUAACCUACGCGCUACGAAUGUCGGAUUCGCGUUUAUUGUUUUUCAUCGAAUCGAACGUAUUGUCCUUGUGGCAGAUACCCGAUUAGACUUCCCGUUUCAAUCGAAAUUAAUCGUUGCCUUUGUUCACGAGACGAAAUGUGAAAAGCGACCGCUUAUUCGGCAAAAAUUAAUUUGGACUACAAAAAACCGGAAGGAACCAAUACUAUUUAUAACCUAUUGUUUUUGGAUGAUCGAAACAUAAACGUCGAACGCAAUAAGGGUCGCCAAGUGCACGGAAUGUGCGCACGAAGUGUACGGAGUGCACUUGGGUGCAGCAGUGACGUCACCGUCGCGGUAGUGCGUGAAGUUUGCCGCGCGACUUACGAACGUUCCUCGCCAUCUUGGAUUAUGUGUAGUGUCGAGAGGUGCCGCACGGUCGUGAUCUACCGCGUUGAUUAGUGCUUUCGAUCGUAAUUAAUCCGAAUGCAUCCGCAUGCAUGCGUGCGCGUGUGAACAUUAGAAGCGGCGGUGAACAAGUCUGGCGAAUUCUGAUGGGACUUGGGACACUCGGACUCUGCAAUUUCGAGAUUCCAGUGAUGCCGAGAUUCUAACCAGGAGAUUUGUACAGGGAAGAGUAGCGUGAUUCGGGCGACAGCGAUAUAACCGCGGUAAGUGAUUUGUAACUUGUUAAAGAAAGAAGACUAGAAACCUCCUGAAAAAACAAGGAAAUUCUGUUCUUUCACAAAAGUGGACUACGUACCUUGCAUGGUGUCGUUGUGGAAGCCACUGCUUGCUCAUCUCGGCGAUGUCCGAGUCAUUUUGCAUUUUGCUGUUGUAAUAUUGUACCCGUAAAAUAUUUUCAGUGCAAAUUUAUAAUUAUUUAAUCUAUUCUUGAAUAACAAGUUAGACUUUUUAUAAAAGUUUAAAUAAAAAUGUAUUUUUUUAAUUAUAAAAUUUUGCGCAGAAUAUUAAAAAAAAAACUUUCGGGAAUUUUUUUAAAAUAUUAAUUAAUUAUAAUUUAUAAAUUAUGCCUCUCAAAAGAUUCUUGCAAAAUGUGAAACAGCAUACAUAAAUAUUAGGCAAUUUUAAUAACGUAAAGAUGAAAAUAAAUGAUCUAACACCGAUCUACAUUUCAAAAUUAUCUCAAAGCUGAACGAUGAAAAUGAUUGAUAAUGAUCGAUUAAUAAUACUUUUAAGAUACAAACGUAUACUUAUCACAGUUUCUGUCGCAACGAAAUGAUUCAAUGAAAAUUUUGGAGUCGGAAAACAAAUUGGAAACCGAUGAAAACGUCGGGAUGCGACCUCGUCGCAGGGGCGCGAGAGUUAUGAUCGGGUGAAGAAAAUAAUGGUAGACGUCGCAAUGAAAUCGAAUAGUAAAUCGUUUAUUUAGUACGAAGGUGUGUGAUAGUGUCUCGAGAUUGCCGCCUCGGCCGACAUUUCCUGAUUUAAAAAUGCCCGACCGCGGCGGUGUGAUACCGUGACGUGAACGAGUGUGUGACAGAGCUUUUUCUUGUUCCUUAGCUGACGUAAGAGAUAGGUGUUAGAGCUAGUUACCCUGUUCUGCGAGCUGGUGCUGCGCCUUUUCGUCGCCGCCGCUCCCGCGAGCACGAGGGCCGACUCUUCACCGAGGACCUUCCCCGAGAAUCACCCUCGCCGAAGAUCGACCCCUCGACUCACCGCCCGCACUUGGUGGAACUUGGGACGCUCAGCGCUAUUGAUACCGUAUACCCGCGGACCGAUUAGAUUACCGUAGUCCGACCGAACUUCACCGAUAGGGUCUCGCGUUGACCAGGUCGCUCGCGCCAACCCUCGACUAGUAAUUCGAGUUGAAUUGUUGGCGAAGUUAGAUCGGACCAGGUGAAGAUUUAAUUCGCGUUGAAACGAGAACGUAGGUGCGGUAAAAUGAGCGCGUUCGAACUUUCCAGUUUGCUAGAGGUGCGACGAUUUUUGCGUCGAGCAAAAUAAAUUCGAGAUCGAAUUGCGCUAUGUCCGGCGGCGUUAGUUAAAUUAAAUAAAGAUAAAGAUCUAAUGUAUCAAAGAAUCAAAAUGUCGCAUUUGACUACGCGCUAUUUAAGCGGAAAAAUCUCUUUACAGUGUAUUUAACGCACUCUUCGGUUAUAGAAUUUUGCAUAUUUCGCCGUGCAAAAUUGGAGAACGUUUCGACACGAGAUUCGAGGGGCUGCGUUUCAGCGCUAAACGCGCGCUUCUAGACCGUCAGAUUGUCAUCACUUCUGAGCGUCCCCGGCGCGACGAAAGGGCGGAACGCCCGUGCGAGCUAACUUUCAAAGAGAUGCUACUUGUUACCUUCACUCGAGGUACUCUAGUGCCUAUGUUAUUGUGUCCUCUGUUCUGCCUACUGCGCUAAAAUCGCCGCUAAAAAAACGGCGGUACCAAAACGGUUGGGGUGAGAGGGGGAGCUGCUGAGGAAGAGGAACAGGGGAGAACGAUCCCCCUCGUACCCUCGUAGAACGUAACAAUAAAUAAUAAUAAUAAUCUUCGCAACUCGUAUACGCGUUCGAAAGGUAAGGAAACGUUCUCUAUUUCUAACUUUCGUUCGUGCAUUCUCUUCUUUAUUUUCUCCCGUCUCUUUUCUUUCUUCAAUCCUCUCUCCUUCUUCCGCUCGCUCCCUUUCUUACUCACGUCUUGAAGUUAGAGAGCACGCCAUUCUCCGCGCACAUGAGGCGGAAUAACAAUUAAGUAUCGUGAAGUAUGGCGAAUGAAAGAUUUGACAAAUCAAAUAUUUCGACACAUGCAACAAACGACUCAUGCUCGAUUCUGCAAUUUGUGUAAAUUGCAAAUUUAUAUACGGGAUGUUAGUAAUUCAAUAUAAAUCACGCGUUACCAAUUUGUACACUUGUUAAAUUAAAUUUUGUAUGGACCUGAAUCAAAAACAUUAAAAAAAAUUGGAUUUUAAAUGAAUUUUUCACCACAAAGAGUUUAAUUCGAGAUGUGCAUUGCCGAACAUUUUGCACGAAUCAAAUGGUAGAUAAGAAAUAGUUCAAACGACGCGUCCUCUUUGCAUCUCUGUUAUUCUAUUAUCAAUGUGUACGUUUGGAUCACGCAUGGUUUGUUUUCUUCGCUCGCUCGCUCGCCCAUUACACCCGAUAUGCAACGAUCGACCCGGAGAUUCCGAGUUUUCCUAUUAAAAAUAAAAACAAUAAUAACUUAGACCUCCAUUGUAUUAUAGCUAUGCACAAAAGAGAAAAAAAAGAUAAAACAACAUCGCGAAACAUUCAAUUAUAACAUGGACGCAAGAUACAAAAGCGUGUAACUCGAUCCGCCUUUCGUUUAUUCUUUCCCACACAUUUCUCCUGAUCUCUCUCUCUCUCUCUCUCUCUCUCUCUCUCUCUCUCUCUCUCUCUCUUUCUCUUGAUCUUCAAAUCUGACAUAUUCGCGUCGUGCGCGCACUUUGAUUGUAUGCAAUGUUUCUUUUUGAUCGUACGUGACUCUUGUCGUGAUAAGUACACACUGUACACCUUCAUUUUUCCGCCUCCGCUCUCGUCAGUCAUGCUCUCGCUAUUAAUAUUAUUUUAUUCGGCUCGAAUAUACACUUCCUGAGGAACGAUGAGAGCUGCCUUAGUCUAAUUUAAGAAAUCGAGUUAAUUAGCUAGUCAGAAAUUUCGCUGCUGGUUAAGAGCUUUUCUUCGAGUUCGGACGAAGCUCUGCAAUGCAAUUUGCAAAGUCGCUUCGGUACGAUUCGUUAACUCAUUAAUAAAUUAAAUUAGUUAAUUAAAUAAUACUAGUGAGCUGCUCGUAGUUCGUCGCAAGAAAGUCGAAGAUCUGCGCAUCGACGAAAGAAGUAACCUUUCGUCGUUACAAUUUAAAUCAGUACAGAAUUAUUCGAUUAUUUCGCAUUUUCCCAAUUAAUUUAGCUUGUUUGCUGAAAUCUUUCGCAAUGUGUUAAGGA